GGAAUUCACUAGUGAUUCAGGCCUAACACAUGCAAGUCGAACGGGGCUAUUUGGAGAUGUUUUCGGACUGAUCUUUUUAGUUUAGUGGCGGACGGGUGAGUAACGCGUGGACAACCUGCCUUUCACAGGGGGAUAGCAGCUGGAAGCGGCUGGUAAUACCGCAUACGCUCAAUACACCGCAUGGUGUAAUGAGGAAAGAUUUAUCGGUGAAAGAUGGAUCCGCGUCUGAUUAGCCAGUUGGCGGGGUAACGGCCCACCAAAGCGACGAUCAGUAGCCGGCCUGAGAGGGCGGACGGCCACAUUGGGACUGAGACACGGCCCAGACUCCUACGGGAGGCAGCAGUGGGGGAUAUUGCACAAUGGGCGCAA
This 369-nucleotide ribosomal RNA is filed under the name uncultured bacterium. RNAcentral's name for it is "bacterial SSU rRNA". It matches the Rfam family "Bacterial small subunit ribosomal RNA", at positions 43 to 380 of the family's 1533-position model. The record is from RNAcentral.